UUUAACAUAAGACACAUAUACUAUUUUCAUGAGAAAUAUAUAUCAUUUAGAUGAGAAAAAUCACAUAAAUGUAGACUUUCUGGAAAUAAAAAUGGUUUUUAAGAUUGAACCAACCAAAUGUGAAAGUUGCAAGUCUACAUUUAACAUAAGACACAACUACUAUUUUCAAGAGAAAUGUCUACCUUUUAGAUGAGCAAAAUCACAAAAAAGUAGACUUUCUGGAAAUCAAAAUUGUUCUUGAGAUUGACUCAAUAAAUGAAGGUGAAAGUUGCAAAGUUUACAUUUAACAUAAGACAGAACUACUAUUUUCAUGAGAAAUGUCUACUAUUUAAAUAAGCAAAAUUAUAAAAAAGUAGACUUUCUGGAAAUCAAAAUGGUUCUUGAUAUUCCAUUAAAGGCAAAAGUUGUAAAGUCUACAUUUAACAUAAGACACAUCUACUAUUUUCAUUAGAAAUGUCUACCAUUUAGAUGAGCUAAAUCACAGAAAAGUAGACUUUCUAGAAAUCAAAAUGGUUCUUGAGAUUGAACCCAUUAAAGGCAAAAGUUGCAAAGUCUACAUUUAACAUAAGACACAUCUACUAUUUUCAUUAGAAAUGUCUACCAUUUAGAUAAGUAAAAUCACAGAAAAGUACACUUUCUGGAAAUAUAAAUAGUUCUUGAGAUUGAACCAACCAAAGGUAAAAGUUGCAAAGUCUACAUUUAACAUAAGACACAGCUACUUUUUUAUGAGAAAUGUCUACCAUUUGGAUGAGCAAAAUCAUAUAAAAGUAGACUUUCUGGAAAUUCGUUCUUGAGAUUGUUCUUCAAAGUUGGAUCAAGUACUCUAAGAUGCAAAGUCUACUAUUAACAUAAGUUAGGUCUACUAAUAACUUGAGCUAAUUGACAUGCAAAAGUAGACUUUCUGAAAGUUACUAUUUAUGGAAAUCAACUAUAAAAGGAAGGAUAAGUUUCCAUUUCGGGGGGUAGUUAUGCUCUAAAAACGAAAGUUAUUAUUUAUAGAAAUCAACUAUAAAAGAAAGGGUAAGUUUCAAUUUUGGGGGGAUAGUUAUGCUCUAAAAACGAAAGUUACUAUUUAUGGAAAUCAACUAUAAAAGGAAGGGUAAGUUUCCAUUUUAGGGAGAUAGUUAUGCUCUAAAAAUGAAAGUUACUAUUUAUGGAAAUCUACUAUAAAAGGAAUGGUAAGUUUCCAUUUUGGGAGGAUUCCUUUUCUGAAAAUUCAACACUAAUUGCCACAUGUCACGACCUUAUUCGUUCUAAGUCACUAAUUUGUCUAUGUCAUUAAAGUUUUACUUUUCUUCCCACCGUUUCAAAACUUUAAAAAUGCAUAGAAAAUAGCUCCGGUGUCGGAAAAAUUCACCGAAAAAUGUCACGGACCACUGGCGAGACCCACUUCACAAUUGCGUCUGAAUUUUAGUCAUCGGAAUCACAACGUGCCUACUAAUGUGGUAUAACUUGUUUGGUUGGUUAUAUGCUAGUGUACAACUUUGUGAACCAACUAUAUAGAGGAAGCAAAAUUUUUAAAAAUCUCGUGAAAUAGGAUGUGAUCGGUAUAGUAAAAUACGGUUAGGGUAGAAAAAUCACUUUAAUUCGCCAAUGUUUGGGCCCCGAUCAAAGCGGUUAACUCUAUUUACGCUUAUGCUUAACUAAGGAGAUCCCUAUCCUCGGGUGGUAAACGUCCCCAAAGUUUUACAUGGGUGGUUAUGUCUCAUUUUUGUGAGAUUUUAUUGUGUUGAAGAAUCCACCAAACUGGGUCACGAAGAGGUAGGUAAGAUAGUUUUCGUGUGAUAAGUAAAGAUGAAUUAGGGUUGACCUCUUUGAUCGAGCCCCAAACAUAGUUGAAUCUAGUUGAAUUUUAUACCAUAGCCAUGUUUCACUAUAAUGAUCACAUCAGACGGUCAAUUUUCAUUUUUUGAAUAUUAGUCAUUGGAAUCAUAACGUGUCUACUAAUGUGGUAUAACUUGUUUGGUAGGUUAUACGCUAAUGUACAACUUUGUGAACCAACUAUAUAGAGAAAGCAAAAUUUUCAAAAAUCUCGUGAAAUAAGGUGUGAUUGGUAUAGUAAAAUACGGCUACAGUAGAAAAAUCACUUUAAUUCGCUAAUGUUUAGGCCCCAAUCGAAACGGUCAACUCUAUUUACGCUUAUGCUUCAAUAAGGAGAGCCCUAUCCUCGGGUGAUAAACGUACCCAAAGUUUUACAUGGGUGGUUAUGUCUCAUCUAUGUGAGACUUUAUUAUGUUGAAGAAUCGACCAAACUAGGAAACGAAGAGGUAGGUAAGAUAGUUUUCGUGUGAUAAGUGAAGACGAAUUAAGGUUGACCGUUUUGAUCGAGCCCCGAACAUUGUUGAAUCCAGUUGAAUUUUAUACCAUAGCCAUGUUUCACAAUAAUGAUUACAUCAGACGGUCAAUUUUCAUUUUGUGAAUUUUCAUUGAUUCAAUCUCAAGAACAAUUUUGAUUUCCAGAAAAUCUAUUUUUUUGUGAUUUUGCUCAUCCAAAUGGUAGACAUUUCUCAUGAAAAGAGUAGUUGUGUCUUAUGUUAAAUGUAGACUUUGCAACUUUCACCUUCAUUUAUUGAUUUAAUCUCAAGAACAAUUUUGAUUUCCAGAAAGUCUACUUUUUUAUGAUUUUGCUCAUCUAAAUAGUAGACAUUUCUCAUGAAAAGAGUAGUUGUGUCUUAUGUUAAAUGUAGACUUUGCAACUUUCACUUUCAAUUAUUGAUUCAAUCUCAAUAACAAUUUUAAUUUCCAAAAAGUCUACUUUUCUUUUAUUUCGCUUAUGUUAAUGGUAGACAUUUUUAACGAAAAUAAUAGGUUUGUCUUAUGUUAAAUGUAGACUUUGUAAUUUUUGUCUUCGGUUGAUUCAAUCUCAAGAACAAUUUUGAUUUUCAGAAAGUGUACUUUUCUUUGAUUUCUCUUAUGUUAAUGGUAGACAUUUCUAAUGAAAAUAGUAGAUGUGUCUUAUGUUAAAUGUAGCAUUUGCAACUUUUACCUUGGGUUGAUUUAAUCUCAAGAACAAUGUUGAUUUCCAGAAAGUCUAUUUUUCUUUGAUUUCGCUUAUGUUAAUGGUAGACAUUUGUAAUGAAAACAGUAGAUGUGUGUUAUGUUAAGUGUAGACUUUCCAUCUUUUACCUUGGGUUGAUUCAAUCUCAAGAACAAUUUUGAUUUCCAGAAAGUUUACUUUUCUUUGAUUUCUCUUAUAUUAAUGGUAGACAUUUAUUAUGAAAAUAGUAGAUGUGCCUUAUGCUAAAUGUAGACUUUGCAACUUUUACCUUGGGUUGAUUCAUUCUGAAAAACAAUUUUGAUUUCCACAAAGUCUACUUUUCUUUAUUUUGCUUAUGUUAGAAAAUAGUAGACGUGUCUUAUGUUAAAUGUGGACUUUGCAACUUUUACCUUCGGUUGAUUCAAUCUCAAGAACAAGGGUGCCCAAGAACAAUUUCGAUUUCCAGAAAGUAUACUUUUUUUUAAUUUCUGUUAUGUUAAUGGCAGACAUUUAUAAUGAAAAUAGUAGAUGUGUCUUAUGUUAAAUGUAGACUUUGCAACUUUUACCUUCGGUUGAUUCAAUCUCAAGAACAAUUUUGAUUUCCAGAAAGUCUACUUUUUCUUUGAUUUCUUUUAUGUUAAUGGUAGACAUUUCUAAUGAAAAUAGUAGAUGCGUCUUGUGUUAAAUGUAGAUUUUGCAUCUUUUACCUUGGGUUGUUUCAAUCUCAAGAACAAUUUUGAUUUCCAGAAAGUCUACUUUUCUUUGAUUUCGCUUAUGUUAAUGGUAGAGAUUUGUAAUGAAAAUAGUAGAUGUGUCUUAUGUUAAAUGUAGAGUUGCAAAUUUUACAUUGGGUUGAUUCAAUCUCAAGAACAAUUUUGAUUUCUAGAAAGUCUAGUUUUCUAUUGAAAACAGUAGAUGUGUCUUAUGUUAAAUGUAUCUUUCUACUUGCAACAUUUUCUGUGAUAUUUUUCAUGACAAUAGUAGGUGUUUCUUAUGAUAGUUGUAGACAGUCUCAAAAAUCAUUUUGAUUUCCAGAAAGUCUACUUUUGUGUGAUUUUGCUCAUCUGAAUGGU
Molecule: long non-coding RNA, 4050 nt
Filed under: Fragaria vesca (wild strawberry)
Lineage: Eukaryota; Viridiplantae; Streptophyta; Magnoliopsida; Rosales; Rosaceae
Description: long non-coding RNA (FVES_LNC001430)
Source: RNAcentral